This 458-nucleotide long non-coding RNA is filed under the name Struthio camelus australis. RNAcentral describes it as "lncRNA (ENSSCUG00000012451.1)". The record is from RNAcentral. Lineage: Eukaryota; Metazoa; Chordata; Aves; Struthioniformes; Struthionidae.
GUUUUAUUUAAUCUUCCAAAUGGAUCAAAAAAUCAGCCUAGCAUUAGCAGCUAAAGGCAAUAAUCAUCUCCCUGAAAGGCAAAGUGUCAAACUAAUUGGAGAAAACAUGCGGAAGAACAGAUGGCACCAUGUUCCUGAAGAAAACAAAACAAAAAGGCAAAAAAAAUAGAAGCAAAAACCACCUAUAAUGUCUGUUCAUUCUCAGCACUCCUUAGGGACUGAUGAAGAAACUGCUUCAAUAAUUUAAAGUCACAAACAGCCAAUGAAUAAUUUACUUCGUAUUUUACAGUUCUCUAGUUCAAGUCAAACCAACUUACAGAUGUUAUCAUAGGGGCUUUGAUAUUGUGGAAAUUUAUAACAGUUAUCUCAGUAAAACCUAAGUGGCACUUGAGGACAAAAUGAGGUAUCUACCAUUGCUAUCAACCACGACGAUAUUUACCAAAAUGUAAAUGUUACAG